CCCUGACAGUAGCAUUCCGCUACUGACUUAACCCAGACAGGAGAUUAACAUG
This 52-nucleotide non-coding RNA is filed under the name unclassified sequences. The record is from Rfam.